UUUGAAUGAGCCGUGCAAAAGCGGAGAUUUUAAAUAUAUAAGUUUCAAAUUAAAUCAAGCCCAAGCAGAAAAACGGGGAGGUUUACAUAAUUUACAUGUAAAUACUUAUUUUUUCAAUUAAACGAGAAAUAGGUGAUCACUGUUUAACAAAUCACAUGAGAGGUGACAAAUCCCGGAGAUAAAGACCGUACUUUAAGAUAGUUGACGCGUGAAACACACCCUGCUUUAUGUUAUGGGCUGGUUACUUAAAAUCCACGUAAGCACAUACGUGAACCAGAACAACACUUAAACUCCGUCACA
Molecule: long non-coding RNA, 300 nt
Filed under: Brassica rapa (field mustard)
Lineage: Eukaryota; Viridiplantae; Streptophyta; Magnoliopsida; Brassicales; Brassicaceae
Description: long non-coding RNA (BRAP_LNC007311)
Source: RNAcentral